Loxodonta africana (African savanna elephant) is the source of this 71-nucleotide transfer RNA. It matches the Rfam family "tRNA". From Rfam's summary of the family: Transfer RNA (tRNA) molecules are approximately 80 nucleotides in length. Their secondary structure includes four short double-helical elements and three loops (D, anti-codon, and T loops). NCBI's taxonomy places the organism in Eukaryota, Metazoa, Chordata, Mammalia, Proboscidea, Elephantidae. The record is from Rfam.
GCAGCUGUGGUUCUGUGGUAGAAUUCUUGCCUUCCAUGCAGGAGACCUGGGUUUGAUUCCCGGUCAAUGCA